RNAcentral lists this ribosomal RNA (786 nucleotides) under uncultured bacterium. RNAcentral describes it as "bacterial SSU rRNA". It matches the Rfam family "Bacterial small subunit ribosomal RNA", at positions 559 to 1347 of the family's 1533-position model. The record is from RNAcentral.
UUUAAAGGGUCCGUAGGCGGGCAGUUAAGUCAGUGGUGAAAGUCUUCCGCUCAACGGGAGAACUGCCAUUGAUACUGAUUGUCUUGAGUUAUUAUGAAGUGGUUAGAAUGAGUAGUGUAGCGGUGAAAUGCAUAGAUAUUACUCAGAAUACCGAUUGCGAAGGCAGAUCACUAAUAAUAUACUGACGCUGAUGGACGAAAGCGUAGGUAGCGAACAGGAUUAGAUACCCUGGUAGUCUACGCCGUAAACGAUGGUUACUAGCUGUUCGGCCCGAUUAAGGGCUGAGUGGUUAAGCGAAAGUGAUAAGUAACCCACCUGGGGAGUACGUUCGCAAGAAUGAAACUCAAAGGAAUUGACGGGGGCCCGCACAAGCGGUGGAGCAUGUGGUUUAAUUCGAUGAUACGCGAGGAACCUUACCAGGGCUUAAAUGUAGUCUGACAGGGCUGGAAACAGCUUUUUCUUCGGACAGAUUACAAGGUGCUGCAUGGUUGUCGUCAGCUCGUGCCGUGAGGUGUCAGGUUAAGUCCUAUAACGAGCGCAACCCCUGUGGUUAGUUGCCAGCGAGUAAUGUCGGGAACUCUAGCCAGACUGCCGGUGCAAACCGUGAGGAAGGUGGGGAUGACGUCAAAUCAUCACGGCCCUUACGUCCUGGGCCACACACGUGCUACAAUGGUAGGGACAGAGAGCAGCCACUUCGCGAGAAGGAGCGAAUCUACAAACCCUAUCACAGUUCGGAUCGCAGUCUGCAACUCUACUGCGUGAAGCUGGAAUCGCUAGUAAUCGCAU